Molecule: small nuclear RNA, 107 nt
Organism: Dipodomys ordii (Ord's kangaroo rat)
Lineage: Eukaryota; Metazoa; Chordata; Mammalia; Rodentia; Heteromyidae
Source: Ensembl
GUGUUCGCUUCGGCAGCACAUAUACUAAAAUUGGACCGAUACAGAGAAGAUUAGCAUGGCCCCUGCACAAGGAUGACACACAAAUUCGUGAAGGGUUCCAUACUUUU